GCAGUACAAAGAAAGAAAAUACAGGGGAAAGAACAGAGGAUACACAUCACAUGUACUAAUGGAAUUCUAUACUUUAAUUUUUUCAUGUACAACAAGUGAAAGAAUAAGCAGAGACCAGCUGAGCUCCAAUCUACCUAUACCCAAAAGCUACAAGCUGCUCCCUCAAAACCUCUCACUCUAAAGCAUAUGAACCAAAAGAACAAAAAAAGAACCCAGAAACAGGGUGAUACUGUAACAGAGAAGGAGACCCGGGGACAUAUCUGCAGGCAAUCCCUCUGGUAAAUCUCCUUUCUGAAUCUUCUGCUAAGAAAAUCAUAGCUACACAGCCUUCUCUACUAGACCUGCUUCUCCAAAUCCUUAGCACUAAUAAAAGUGCCGUGAAAACCAUAAGGAACUCGAGAAGGAAGCUUAACUGUUGCUUCUAGCUGCAAAUUCAUGGCAUUCACAAUUUGCAGCUCGGAUUUCCACUCUUUUUCGUCAUGGACAAAGCAUAAAAUAUACCCAGAAUCUUCUUUCCCUGAAUUGGAAUUUGGGUC
This 536-nucleotide unclassified non-coding RNA is filed under the name Hevea brasiliensis (rubber tree). Lineage: Eukaryota; Viridiplantae; Streptophyta; Magnoliopsida; Malpighiales; Euphorbiaceae. The record is from RNAcentral.